CUUUAAGGAACAAGGCUCUUCUGAGGAGCCUCCCUGUGCUCCCCGGUUGGUGUGCUUCCUGCUUUCUCUUAGAACACUUCUGUUUUUAACGAACCUGGACUCCACUUCUUACUGCCUCAUCUCGGAAUUCUUUUCCGCAUCAAAGUCAGGGAUCUGGUUUUUGCCGAGCUGAUGGGUCGCUGAACGGUUAACACAUCUCCUCAGACUGUUGUAUGUGUGCCUCUGUCCCGGCUACUGCUUCUGACUAACCCAGUCUUUGCUUUGUGGACCCGGAGCCUCACCGUGCAUGAACUACGUGGGACCUGAGCACAGGACGCUCAGCUCUGGUUGGCGAGUCACUUACACCAACUUGCCUGGUUGGGACUGUUGUUGAAUCAAUAGCUUUUAUAGUUAGAGAUCGCUGAGGGCAGCGUCUUUGACCUCAGACAGUUUUUAGGGGCUGCAGUGUAAGUUGCCCUAGAUGUCCACACACCUGAGGACUGUCCCCAGCCAGUGCUGGAAGAAGCAGAGGCUUUCACUGGGAGCUCACUGCGCGCUUCCUUCUGCCCACGCUGUGGGAAAGGUCUACUAGAGGCAGGGAGAGAAUAUUCUAGUAAGAGGUUCUCUUGGGGUAGGUAAGCUAGGGUUAAGGAGAAGGGUGGAGUGUCAGAGGCAGCUUAAAACUUUCGAAUGCUAACGUUCCAGCAUGCUUGAACCACUCUUGCUGCUCAGCACAGAAGCGAACAAGAAGAACAGCGGAGACUGCAGACUGACCAGCAAGCUAAAGGCUAAACGGAGGACAGACAGUCCCUUCCUGAGCUGAGGCUAAAGAAGGGUAAGCCGUCCAUCAUAAAUAUGGCCAGCCCGCUCCUUUGUCAAACAGCCAUCCUGAGUUCGAGGCUACACAAAAUGAUAUUUAGCUGGCCCUAAAUGACAAUAAACAGU
RNAcentral lists this long non-coding RNA (924 nucleotides) under Mus musculus (house mouse). Its description in RNAcentral is "long non-coding RNA chr2:170888237-170889161". The record is from RNAcentral. Lineage: Eukaryota; Metazoa; Chordata; Mammalia; Rodentia; Muridae.